This is a long non-coding RNA of Chinchilla lanigera (long-tailed chinchilla), 5062 nucleotides long. RefSeq lists it as uncharacterized. Lineage: Eukaryota; Metazoa; Chordata; Mammalia; Rodentia; Chinchillidae. The transcript is spliced from 5 exons. The record is from RefSeq and is a predicted model, not a curated record.
CAAAAGUGCAAACUGGCUACUAGUACAUCUAAAAAAUCUUAUGAAGAAAUAAAAACUAAAAAAUUAAGAGGUUCAAGGUAACUUUUAAAAGUGAGGGCUGUGUGGUUAUGGAACAAAUGCACACAUAUGUAAAUUGACAAAACCAGUGUGAAAAAUUAUAUGGCUUAGUCUGGUCAAUAUGAAAUGGACAUGUUCAGUGAGUGAUGAAUUCUUCUCCUAUCAGAGACAGACAUUGCCAGAUCUAUUGAAACAUACGGACCAGUGUUAUUUUUGAUAGAGAAAAAUGUAAACAACCCAAUUAAUUCACAUCACAGUAAAUAAAUACACUGUGGCACAUUCAUCUGAUGAUACACUAGAGAACUGAAGAUGAAUGAGUUACAGUCUGGAACAAAAACAAGAUUGAUUCUCAGGAACACCAUGCUACAGAAGAAUUUACAUAGUGCAUUUAGAACCAUAUAAAGUUCAGAGCUGUACAUAAUUAACUAAUAUAUACCUUAGGGAUGCAAACUCUGUAUUAAAGUAAAUGUAGAAAAAUAAAUGUAUAGUAACAUUAUGUUUUGAAUAUGGUUACUUCUAAGGGAAGGGCCAAUUAUUUGGUACAUCCUGGAAUACACAGAAAUUCAUAUAUGGUGGUUACUUUAUCCUAACUAAAAUGGGAUAUGGAAGCUGAGGUGUUUGGGUUAUUUUUUUGUCCUUCUGUACAUUUGCUAAAAAUUAUUUUGAUUCCCUUCAACAUUUAAUUUAUAUUUGUAAAAGAAAAAACUAAGAAGAAUUCCAUUAGAGAAGCUUUGAUAUAUGUUCUCACUUUCUGAGGAUUAUUUUAAAAGUUCCAUGCAUUGAUUUAAUAAAAUAUAUGCUAUCAAAAAAUGCCAGUGAUCUUUUAUAAUAGUACUUUUUGAGGAAACUCUCCUUCUAUGUGCUUCUCUUAGUGGUUUUCCUUUAUGGAUACGUAUACUGUGUCUUAAUUUCUAUCAAAUUUGGAGAAAGAAUUAAUUUUUUGACUCAACCAUACUUGCAUAUAGUAUAAAAAAAGUAAACUUUUAACAAGUAUAGACUCUGGUUGUUUUUUGCUAUAACUGAAAUAAUGACUAAAAUCAAGUAGUUAGACGCAUUAGGAGCCAAUUAGUUUUAAGGAAAGACAUAAUUCCUAGAAUUGUCAACAGAAAUUCCGAAAGAGAACUACUGAUUUUCAAUAGCAGUCAGUAUACCCAGCACCUAGACUUGGUUUCUAAUUUCUAAAAGAAAUUUAAAUUUAAAAUUUUUCAAUAAAUGGUUGGUUUCCAGUGUACGGCAGAAAAUUACAUGUUGAGUCAGGAGCAUCUUGUGAGGAAAAUAAGGAAAGGCUUAAACAUUGAUGAGGACAGAAACAGAAGAUAUCAGAGCCAUCCUGGAAGAGUCCCUCUAGCUAGGUUUCGGGCAGUUCAACAUUAGAGGAAUAAUGAUGGUAAAGAAUAUGAUAUCCCGAAUUGAAAACUAAUUUAUUAGGCCAUAGUCAUGAUCAAACGGAUAAGCUGUUACACUUGGAUAUGGAAUUUCUCUUGAAGACUUGUGUGUUGAAGCUAUGAUGGCCAGGUAGAGAUAUUUUGGGGAAGGUAGUGAUGUUAACCCUUCCAAUAAUAAAUGGACUCUAAUUUCAGCCAAUGAAUUCUGGUAGAAGUGAUGCUGUGAUUCUGUGGCAGAGUUGUAAAAGGUCCAUGCACUUUCACCUUCUUAUGGGACACUCAUGCUUGGCAUUCUAACUGGCCCCCUUUGCCUCCCCAGAACCGCUAGGAAGUGAGGAAACAAAGCACAAGAGGGAUUCAGGCCAGGUUGCAUGUCUGCAGAUCCAGAAGUAAUCCUGGUCUCCCCGGUGCCUCAGCUGAGGCCUCAGGUAUGUGGGCUGGAGUAGCUUCCAGUCCCCACCCAAUGAGCUCACUCCAGUCUUCACAGCAGGGCUUUCAGAUAUCACGAGAUGGAGACACGCCAUCUCUCAGGUUUCUUUUCUGGAUUUUCAAACUUUGGAAUCUGCAAACAUAAUGAAAUGAUUACUUUAAACUUCUGUCUUUUGGAAUGCUACAUAGCAGUUAUAGCUGGAAGCAUGAGAUAAGAGAUAGAGUCUUUUACUCGGUGAUGCUGGAAUCUGGCAUUAGUGUUUGCUUUAUGUGGUAGAUUCCAAAUUUUGAUUUAUUUUAUGGACUCUUCUGUGGUUUUCUUCUGAAAUAGCUUUUACCCUGACUCAUGACACAGAGAUUCUCUUCAUCCGCUCAGAGACGAGGAACAAUACAUUCAUGGAUGUCUGUCACAGUGCCCUUUCACUCACUGUUUCUUUCAACCAAAUUUUCUUAUCUUUAAUCUUCUCUGAGCCUAGAGAUGGGUAAUGGAGUUAUGCUGGCAAAAUUAUUUUUUUGUUCAACUCUUUGCAAAUCCCACUGAGAUUGUCUUGUUUUCUGCUUGUAGAAUAUUGAGAUCCUUAUCCUUAGUAUCUGUUUGUUCUCAGGUUCAACUCCAAAUCCCCAAAGCACAGGAAAUACAAUGCUCUGCAAGAAGAACCAUGAAGUAGGCUGGAGAAGCUUCAGUCACUUGCAGUCAACAUGGACCAAAAAUAAUACAUGGAAAAUUCCAGAAAAAAACUCUACAGAGGCAGAAGAUGGAAUGCACACAGGCAAAUGCAAAUAAUUUUGGGGAAGAGUACAACAAAAUGCUUGAAGGAAGAAAAAGCAGUAGGAGAAAAUGUGCCAGUUUUGUACACUGGAAGUCCAAUGUCAAUGUUCACAAGUUCAGCAAGCCUGGAAGCCUUUCUCCUUGAAAAUGGCCACUAUUCAACAUGUUCUCAAACUCCUGGUCCUGUGCCGUGAAUACUCCAGGUAUCUCUGUUCUUACAAGGCCAGCCUUCGGGUUGGAUUGGCACCAGCAUACAAGCCAGCCUCUUUUUAACUUGGUCACCUCCUCACAGCCUCAUCUGCAAAUACAGUCACUGACAGACUGGGAGUUGGGAUACAAAUGUGUGAAUUUGGGGGCUGGGGAACACAGUUCAGCCCACAAGAAAGAUAAAAAAUAACAGUGACUAUUUAUCUCUUCAAGUUGGGGUGGCUUGGGAAUUUAGACAAAGUAAAUUGGCAGCAGAGAUUUUCUGCCUCCCAGAGUCUGGGGACCCCAGCCUAAGCCCUGGAGCAGGGGCUAGUGUACCUGAAGAACUAUUUCUGAUCUGCUUGUGUAUGAUACCUGUGGGGUGCGACCUGCAUUGGAUCUGUUGCCUUGUGUCCUCAACUCCAUCAUGGCUUGGCCACUGUAUUCUCAUGAGAGAAAAACAGAGAUGAAGCCUGGCAGAAGAUAUCUUUUCUUUGCUGAUGUGGUUUCAGAAGACAGGUGGCGUCAGGUCUGCUGCCCAUUGUUAGAUAAGAUGGUUAAAAAUGUCUGCCUAGAUUUAAGGGGAGAAGAAAUAAACUCACUUGCAGUGGGAAAAAUGUCAGUCAUGAUGUGGUGACUGAAAGAAAUAGAGAUAUCUAUUUCUUAAUAUCAAUAUGUAGCUACUAUACAUAUAAGAAUUACAUUUUUAGGCAUAUAAUAUGUGCAUAUGUUACAAAAAUUGCAUAUAUUACAAAUCUAGUUUGUGUGUGUGUGUGUUUGUGUGAGAUCCUGUGUGAAACACAAUCCAUCACAGUCAUAUUUAUUUGAAAAUACAUAAUAUUCAUAUAACCGCUAUAGUAGAUGUUGUCUUCCAGUAUCAUUUCCUGUGUGUUCCUCUGCCUACUUCUUAGAGAAAGACAAGUGCUGUACAAUCCCACUGCAGUGUGGAAUACUAAAGUUGAACUCCCGGAAAUAGGGUGACAUGUUGGUUAGCAGAUGUUGACAGGAGAGAGAAAAUGGAGACAUUUUGAUCUAAGUGUAUAAACAUGAGGUUGUAAGAUGAAUUCUGAAGAUCCAAUGUUCAGCACUUGACUAUUAUUGUUAACAGUACUUGCUUAAAAUUUGCUAAGAGAAUAGUUUUAAAGUGUUCUUACCAUACCCACACCCACCCUAACAUGUGACUAUGCGAAACAAUGAGCAUGUCAGUUACUUUGAUUGUAGUAAUCACUUAGAAACACACGUGCAUAUCAAAAUAGCAAACUAUGAACCUUAAAUAUAUAGAAUCAUACUACAAUAAAACUGAGAAAAAAAAAACAGUAGAAUUAUCAAGAAGCCUGAUGUUUCAGUGGAAAAAAAUAAAAAUAUAAAGGAGACGCUUGGGCACAGAGACAUUCCACAUCAUGUGAAGAUUGGAGUCCCGCUGCCCUGAGUCCAGAAAGGAGCUAUCAGAAAGUCAGAGGCCAGGAACAGAUCCUUCUCUAGUCCCUUCCAAGGGAGUACAGUUCUGCCGACACCUUGAUCUCAGACUUCCCACCUCCAGACAGGACGACAACACAUUUCUUUCUUCACAGAGCUCUCUGGUUUGUGGUACAUUGUUAUAAUAGCCCCAGGAAACUAAUACAAAUGUGACACCUGGGACACCCUGGCAGCCUGGCUUUUCCUAGGCGGGAAAAGCUUUACAAAGACAAAGCAGAAGCCAAUGCUAAUGGAUAAGCAGCUCCAGAGUGGGAGGGAUUGUCUGAGCACAGGCCAGGGCCCAGUUCUUAGGGCCACGUAUUGCCCUGACUUUCAAGCAUUCCAUUAGUUUUACCAAAAAAAUAUCUUUUUCUCAGUUACUAAAGGAAUUCAGUUCAGAUUUCUGUCAUUUGCAAGUCAAACAGUCCUAAUAUUCCCAUUUUGCAUUUUUCAAUUAUUUUGAUAAAUAUGACUUGUAUUAUUUGAGAAGCUGAUGUUAUUCUAAAGCAGUUUUCACCUUCAGAUAGGAGAGAGGACUCCAUUUUCAAGCAUGGAUACGCGUGCUACACAUGUCACAAGGAUCCCACAGGGGGAUUGCUGGUGCAGUGUCACAAGACAAAUAUUUCUAUCAUUGCUCUCUAUGAGGGUCUAAAGAGGUUGGAAGGGAUCAAACUGGUAAGACAGCACAACGUCACUUCAUUCCGCUCCUCCACUGGUUCUUCCUUUUUCCUUUUUUAAAAUAAAACUUCUCAUGUAUAUCAAUGAGUGAUUGAAUGUGUGU